GUCUAUGGCCAUGCUACCCUGAACAAGCCCAAUCCCAUCUGAUCUCGGAAGCUAAGCAGAGUCGGGCUAAGCAGGGAUGGAAGACCACCUAGGAAGAGCAGGUGCUAUAGGCA
This 113-nucleotide ribosomal RNA is filed under the name Pteropus alecto (black flying fox). The record is from RNAcentral. Lineage: Eukaryota; Metazoa; Chordata; Mammalia; Chiroptera; Pteropodidae.